Molecule: ribosomal RNA, 468 nt
Filed under: uncultured bacterium
Lineage: Bacteria
Description: partial 16S ribosomal RNA
Rfam family: Bacterial small subunit ribosomal RNA
Source: RNAcentral
GACGAACGCUGGCGGCGUGCUUAACACAUGCAAGUCGAACGGAAAGGCCCUGCUUUUGUGGGGUGCUCGAGUGGCGAACGGGUGAGUAACACGUGAGUAACCUGCCCUUGACUUUGGGAUAACUUCAGGAAACUGGGGCUAAUACCGGAUAGGAGCUCCUGCUGCAUGGUGGGGGUUGGAAAGUUUCGGCGGUUGGGGAUGGACUCGCGGCUUAUCAGCUUGUUGGUGGGGUAGUGGCUUACCAAGGCUUUGACGGGUAGCCAGCCUGGGAGGGUGACCGGCCACAUUGGGACUGAGAUACGGCCCAGACUCCUACGGGAGGCAGCAGUGGGGAGUAUUGCACAAUGGGCGGAAGCCUGAUGCAGCAACGCCGCGUGCGGGAUGACGGCCUUCGGGUUGUAAACCGCUUUCGCCUGUGACGAAGCGUGAGUGACGGUAAUGGGUAAAGAAGCACCGGCUAACUACGUG